RNAcentral lists this ribosomal RNA (253 nucleotides) under uncultured bacterium. RNAcentral's name for it is "partial 16S ribosomal RNA". It matches the Rfam family "Bacterial small subunit ribosomal RNA", at positions 524 to 776 of the family's 1533-position model. The record is from RNAcentral.
UACAGAGACUGCAAGCGUUAUUCGGAUUCACUGGGCGUAAAGGGUGCGCAGGCGGUCGGGUGUGUCAGAUGUGAAAUCCCGAGGCUCAACCUCGGAACUGCGUCUGAAACUACUCGACUAGAGUACUGGAGAGGGUAACGGAAUUCACGGUGUAGCAGUGAAAUGCGUAGAUAUCGUGAGGAACACCAGAGGCGAAGGCAGGUCUCUGGGCCGCAACUGACGCUGAGGAGCGAAAGCAUGGGGAGCGAACAGG